AGGUGAUUAUUUUAAUUAAAAUAUUUGAUUUCGGCUCAAAGGAUCGCGGUUAAAGUCCGCAAUCAUCUA
This 69-nucleotide transfer RNA is filed under the name Exyrias puntang (Puntang goby). Its description in RNAcentral is "tRNA-Arg". It matches the Rfam family "tRNA". Rfam says of the family: Transfer RNA (tRNA) molecules are approximately 80 nucleotides in length. Their secondary structure includes four short double-helical elements and three loops (D, anti-codon, and T loops). Further hydrogen bonds mediate the characteristic L-shaped molecular structure. tRNAs have two regions of fundamental functional importance: the anti-codon, which is responsible for specific mRNA codon recognition, and the 3' end, to which the tRNAs corresponding amino acid is attached (by aminoacyl-tRNA synthetases). tRNAs cope with the degeneracy of the genetic code in two manners: having more than one tRNA (with a specific anti-codon) for a particular amino acid; and 'wobble' base-pairing, i.e. permitting non-standard base-pairing at the 3rd anti-codon position. Lineage: Eukaryota; Metazoa; Chordata; Actinopteri; Gobiiformes; Gobiidae. The record is from RNAcentral.